UGAACGCUAGCGGCAGGCUUAACACAUGCAAGUCGAGGGGUAGAGGCUUUCGGGCCUUGAGACCGGCGCACGGGUGCGUAACGCGUAUGCAAUCUGCCUUGUACAAAGGGAUAGCCCAGAGAAAUUUGGAUUAAUACCUUAUAGUAUAUAAUUAGGACAUCCUUAUUAUAUUAAAGAUUUAUCGGUACAAGAUGAGCAUGCGUCCCAUUAGCUAGUUGGUGUGGUAACGGCAUACCAAGGCUAUGAUGGGUAGGGGUCCUGAGAGGGAGAUCCCCCACACUGGUACUGAGACACGGACCAGACUCCUACGGGAGGCAGCAGUGAGGAAUAUUGGACAAUGAGCGCAAGCCUGAUCCAGCCAUGCCGCGUGCAGGAUGAAGCAUCUAUGGUGUGUAAACUGCUUUUAUACAGGAAGAAACCCUGGCUCGUGAGCCAGAUUGACGGUACUGUAGGAAUAAGGAUCGGCUAACUCCGUG
RNAcentral lists this ribosomal RNA (476 nucleotides) under uncultured Flavobacterium sp. Its description in RNAcentral is "bacterial SSU rRNA". It matches the Rfam family "Bacterial small subunit ribosomal RNA", at positions 30 to 507 of the family's 1533-position model. The record is from RNAcentral. Lineage: Bacteria; Pseudomonadati; Bacteroidota; Flavobacteriia; Flavobacteriales; Flavobacteriaceae.